AUAUCAAUAAGCGGAGGAAAAGAAACCAACAGGGAUUACCCUAGUAACGGCGAGUGAAGCGGUAACAGCUCAAAUUUGAAAUCUGACCUUCACGGGUUCCGAGUUGUAAUUUGUAGAGGAUGUUUCGGGCAAUGACUCAUGGUUUAAGUUUCUUGGAACAGAACGUCAUAGAGGGUGAAGAGUCCCGUCUAGAAGCCGCCUAGUCCGCGUCCAUGUGAAACUCCUUCGACGAGUCGAGUUGUUUGGGAAUGCAGCUCAAAAUGGGUGGUAAAUUUCAUCUAAAGCUAAAUAUUGGCCAGAGACCGAUAGCGCACAAGUAGAGUGAUCGAAAGAUGAAAAGCACUUUGAAAAGAGAGUUAAACAGUAU
Molecule: ribosomal RNA, 367 nt
Filed under: uncultured fungus
Lineage: Eukaryota; Fungi
Description: eukaryotic LSU rRNA
Rfam family: Eukaryotic large subunit ribosomal RNA
Source: RNAcentral